UCUCUCUCCUUCUCCCUCUCCCUCUGUCUCUGUCUCUCUCCCUUUCCCUCUCCCUCUCUCCUUUAAUAAAUGUUUAGCUUUAUGCCUAAUUUCUGUGUCUAUGUGCCUUUUACCCGCUGCAUGUCCACACCCACCACAAGCUGUCUCUCCUGCUCGCCACAUGGCGGGACCAGCUCGCCCGCUUGGGACCCACCACGACCCACCCGGGGAUCUUGGGCGACCCGCUCUGGGACCGGCAGCCAUCUCUGCCUUGGGACUGGCUGCUCACAGAGUCCUCUGCCUGCCUACAGCUGCAGCCUGGGACUUCAUAGCAUUUAGAAAAAGAAUAACAACUGGUAAUGGAACCCAGGGCUUCAUCUCUGUCAGGUAAGCACUCCACCAACUGAGCCACCUUUCCAAUGUUUCCCCCAUCUUUCCAUUUUGUCCUAUCUUGCUUUUAAAAUCUAUUAGUAAUUAGAGGCAGGUGUGUAAUUAUAUAAACAAGGCUGAUUUUGAACUCCUCAUCUCUGCUUCUUCCACCUUCAUGGGCUGGCAUCACAAGUUUGCCGCUAUACCUGUCAAUGUGUCUUAUCCAAAGGAUUCUGUCCUGAAAGAGGAGACAUUUUAGGUCCGUUCUUCACGCUUGUAGGUGGAGAAGAGAGUGAGCAUAAAGAUGACCAGUUUCAUUAUGUCACAAUUCUUGGUCCUCUGCCAGCAAGGGAUGGAUAUCAGAUGAGGAGAAUGAGGGAUGAUCAAUCAAGCUCUUAUUAGUUCCUCACCCUGAGAAACCUGACGAUCUUGGGUGGGAACAUCAAAUGUGGUUACUAUUGAACCGAGCAGCUGUUGCAGCGUCAGCUCUUGGUGUUGAAGUAGAUGUUUUAAGGAAGAGAGCAUGGUCAUGAAACUACAGAUAAUGAAAGAAUAAAAAGGUUUGUGAUUCCA
Long non-coding RNA from Arvicola amphibius (Eurasian water vole), 921 nucleotides. RefSeq lists it as uncharacterized. Lineage: Eukaryota; Metazoa; Chordata; Mammalia; Rodentia; Cricetidae. The record is from RefSeq and is a predicted model, not a curated record. The transcript is spliced from 2 exons.